Long non-coding RNA from Herpailurus yagouaroundi (jaguarundi), 1876 nucleotides. RefSeq lists it as uncharacterized. The record is from RefSeq and is a predicted model, not a curated record. The transcript has 3 exons. Lineage: Eukaryota; Metazoa; Chordata; Mammalia; Carnivora; Felidae.
GAGAGAGCUGGGGACCUAGACCGGGGGCCGGAAUUGGGGACGGCCGAGCUCUGAGGCUUCCCCCCGGUGCCGGCCUCCGCCCUCGUCCUGUGCAGACGGGCCGGCCAUCUGCCUGCUGGGUCUUCGGAGUGAGCUGGGCGGCCUCGGUGCCCUCGCCUGUGAGAUGGUCCCAGGGUUGUCCAGGGAACAGCGUUGCCGGAGGCCUAUGGGAGGCAGCGGGGACGUGCACGGCCGUGUGAAGCAGGGCGAUGGCCUGAAGGACCAACCGGGAGUCCCGAAAAGCUGACCGUGGGUGAGGUUGUUGAGCAGAGCAGAGCCCCUGCCCUCGGCUGACUUCCGCCAAGGGUUGUGUGACGGGCCCCUUGGCUUUCGUUGCAGACGGUUGAGCAAGAUACGGCUGGCCCGUGGGUGACCGGUCACCGCGUGUUACUCAGCGCCCGCACACCAGCCAGGUCGGGAGCCGUGCCACCUUCCCUGAUGGACACACUGGCUACUCUGCGGAAGCGCGUCACCGAAGCCGGGAGUCGACCGACAGAGGUGAGAAAGUGGCAAGGACGGGAGGUGGGGACACUGGAGGCAAAUCCAGGUGCAGCAGCGACGGGGCCAGAAGAAAGAGCUGCGGCCAGAGGGGCCUGGUGAGGCCGACUUGAUGAGAAGGACGAUGUCCCCCGGAAGUGACGCUGGCCACGCCCCCACGCCGACAGAGCCCUCGACACGUUUCGCGUCGCCCCGAGUGCGAGUGCGAAGGCCGCGCUGGAAGCUCAUUGCGACGCGGAACAGACAGCGACAACCGACAGAGGUCCAGAAAGGAUGCUCGCAGCACGUCCUAAGUCACAGCGGAAGAGGCGAACACUGUUCAUACUGUUCCUGAAUCACCUGGUAAUUCAUCUGGAGUGAAUAGAAGUACUCUGUUUACUUACUUAUGCCCCAGAUGUUUAUUCCACACCCAUAGCAAGCAAGACACAGUUCUAAGCACAGACACACUAAGAUUUGCCAUUACCAAGAGAAAACCCUUGACCUCAUGGAAUCACAUUCUAAUUAGGGGCACAGACCAUGAGUGAGGAGCACAAAUAGUACUGUGCAGAGAAGCAUGCCCUGAAGAAAAUAAAGGGGCGAGUGGUGGGGAAGGUGGUCAAAGAAGGCCCUUCUGAAGGGUCAUGCUUGAGCAGAAGGCUGAUGAAGAGAAGGAGUGAGCCCUUUAAGACUCUGGAGGAAGAGCAUUCUAGGACAAGGGAAAGACCCUCAGGCCGAGGCAUGCCUGGUGUCAUCAGGGACAACGGAAGGUCAGCACACCAAGGCGGCCAGAGGGAUGAGUCUGAAGGGCAGGCCAAGGACCAGAUCACUCAGAGCCUAAGUGGGCAAGCCAAGGACGGUUCUCCCUCUAAGCGGGAUGUGAAGCCACAGAGAACCGGCCACUCUGACCUAUGUUUAUAAAGAUGUUCCCCAAGGGCCUGCAGGCAGCUCUUCAGCUGCCCAGGGGAGGGCCAGAGGGGUUUGACCGAGAGCCCAUAGCGCCACAGUGCAGCAGGAAGGAAGAGGUCAGAUUUGGGAGAUGAUUUGGGGAGAAUGGCAGAGUUGGCUGUCGGGCCGGAUGGAGACAUGCGGGAAUAUGAGAGGCACCAAGGGACACUCUGGGCAGAGGGGUGAGGGAGCGGUGUUUGCUGAGAUAAGGGGCUUUGGGGAAGGAAGAAUUCCGUUCUGGACAAAGAACAGGUAGGAAAGUAGAAACACAUAGCAAGAUAGUGACUUAAUCCAGCCAUGUCGAUAAUCACCCCAAAGGAAGAACAGAGAUUAGCCAAUAGGGUUUUUAAAAAGCAAAAACCAGGGGCGCCUGGGUGGCUCAGUCGGUUGGGUGUCUGACUUCGGCUCAGGUCAU